RNAcentral lists this ribosomal RNA (496 nucleotides) under uncultured bacterium. RNAcentral's name for it is "partial 16S ribosomal RNA". It matches the Rfam family "Bacterial small subunit ribosomal RNA", at positions 28 to 507 of the family's 1533-position model. The record is from RNAcentral.
GAUGAACGCUGGCGGCGUGCCUAAUACAUGCAAGUCGAGCGAACGGACGAGAAGCUUGCUUCUCUGAUGUUAGCGGCGGACGGGUGAGUAACACGUGGAUAACCUACCUAUAAGACUGGGAUAACUUCGGGAAACCGGAGCUAAUACCGGAUAAUAUUUUGAACCGCAUGGUUCAAAAGUGAAAGACGGUCUUGCUGUCACUUAUAGAUGGAUCCGCGCUGCAUUAGCUAGUUGGUAAGGUAACGGCUUACCAAGGCAACGAUGCAUAGCCGACCUGAGAGGGGGAUCGGCCACACUGGAACUGAGACCCGGUCCAGACUCCUACGGGAGGCAGCAGUAGGGAAUCUUCCGCAAUGGGCGAAAGCCUGACGGGGCAACGCCGCGUGGGUGAUGAAGGUCUUCGGUUCGUAAAACUCUGUAUUAGGGAAGAACAUAUGUGUAAGUAACUGUGCACAUCUUGACGGUACCUAAUCAGAAAGCCACGGCUAACUACGUG